RNAcentral lists this long non-coding RNA (257 nucleotides) under Theobroma cacao (cacao). Its description in RNAcentral is "long non-coding RNA (TCAC_LNC002856)". The record is from RNAcentral. Lineage: Eukaryota; Viridiplantae; Streptophyta; Magnoliopsida; Malvales; Malvaceae.
AGUUUAGUGAAACUGCAGGACCUUUUGCCACGCACAUGUGUUGAAGUCGGGACUCAGGCUCAGGCAUGGCCAGCAACAUUAAAUAAAUGAAUAUUAUAGGAGACAAGAAUAUUCAUGUUGAUGCAGCUUUUGUAUCAUUCUAUAUGGAUUGGGUCAAGACUCAAGACUGCAGAAACUUGGGCCAAGGCCAUUAGCCAGCCUCAAAUGCAGCUUUGUGUAGGCCCAUUUAAUAAGGAAGAUGUAGGCUGGGCUAGCCG